Molecule: microRNA, 22 nt
Filed under: Polistes canadensis
Lineage: Eukaryota; Metazoa; Arthropoda; Insecta; Hymenoptera; Vespidae
Description: pca-miR-3786-5p
Source: miRBase by way of RNAcentral
CUUGUCCUGGUUCGUGUAGGGC